ACCCCUAAUGCCUCGCUACGGCGAGUGAGCGGCAAAAGCUCAAAUUUGAAAUCCUUCGGGAGUUGUAAUUUGUAGGUUGGGAGACCCCGCGGCUAGUGGCACCAAGUCCCUUGGAACAGGGCGCCUUGAGGGUGAGAGCCCCGUAGGUACCACAACACCGUCUUGUGUCUCCUCUCCAAAGAGUCGAGUUGUUUGGGAAUGCAGCUCAAAGUGGGUGGUAAAUUCCAUCUAAAGCUAAAUACCGGCGAGAGACCAUAGCGAACAAGUACAGUGAUGGAAAGAUGAAAAGCACUUUGAAAAGAGAGUGAAACAGUACGUGAAAUUGUUGAAAGGGAAGGGCUUGCAAGCAGACACGGCCUUCGUGCCGGGCCAGCAUCGGUUCUAGGGGUGGAUAAGGAACAAGGAAUGUAGCUCCUCGGAGUAUUAUAGCCUUGCGCGAUACACCCACUGGCGACCGAGGCCUGCGGUAUUCCUACCUAGGAUGCUGGCGUAAUGGUUGCAAGCCGCCGUCUUGAAAACAAGGGGAACCCCCAGGCCCCCUUUUUAAAAAACAGGCACACAAUUGGUUUUUUUUUUAAAAACAAAAAAAAAUUU
Molecule: ribosomal RNA, 594 nt
Filed under: Sungouiella pseudointermedia
Lineage: Eukaryota; Fungi; Ascomycota; Pichiomycetes; Serinales; Metschnikowiaceae
Description: [Candida] pseudointermedia partial 26S ribosomal RNA
Rfam family: Eukaryotic large subunit ribosomal RNA (bases 1-523)
Source: RNAcentral